AAUGAACAUUAAUUAGCAGCUUAAAAUUAUUUUGUUUUAAUAACCAAAAGUAUUAAGAAAAGAACUCACAUAAAUGCAUACUUAAAUCAACAAUCCUAAAUCCAAUUUGUCGAUCACAUACAUAACGAUCUAAAUCAAAUUCUUGGAUUACUAAUUAAACAGAAAAGCAACAAAUUUGUCUAUUUGAAGUAUACUAUCCCUCUCUUUGAAAAAGAAAAAAAAAAAACUCUAGGCCUCAAUCUUUGUUUCUUCUGUUUUUGGCUUCUCUUCUUGACCCUUUACUUCCUCAGUCUUAGGUUCUUCUUCCUUAGGUUCAGCCUUCACUUCCUCAGCGUCAGCCUUGCCUUCUUCUGGCUUCUUUGCCUCCUCCACAUUCUACAAUAUAGAAGUGGUAUUAUUAGGAGAAUGCGAUGGUUUAUGGGAAUUAUUGAAAUUAGACAAGCCAAACACGAAGAAAAUAAAAUAAAGGAAAUGCUAACAAAUUUCUUUAGAAUACUUAUUAAGACAAUUAAAGUGACAAUGUUAUCUUAAAAUUGACAUGUUCAAUACAUUGAAACUUUAAAAUGUAAUUUUUUUUAUCAAACUUAUCAACUAUUUUCUUUUAAAUCAUUAUCAAGUACUUUUAAGACAUUUGUUAACAUGAUCUAUAAUAUAAAUAAGGAUAUUUUCUGUUAUUUAUUUAUAAGAGAAAUUUUUUAAGUUCAUAACAAAAAUUGAGGGUGGCCCAAACAUAAGGCAUGUCAAGCCCUUACUUUAAGGGUGUGUUUGGAUUGAGAGUUUAGGAGGAGAAAGGAGGGUAGAGUUCACUUUUAAUUUUUAAAUUACGAACAACAUAAAAUAUUUUUUAGAAUAAAUUAAGUGUUUUUGAAGUGUUAUAUAAUCAUUUAUCAUGUUGUUAAUUCAAUUUUCUAAAAAUCAUUUCAUAAUGUCCAUAAUUUAAAAAAGAAAAGGAAGCCCUCCCCUCCCUUCCCCUUUUAAAUCCUCCAUCCAAACACACCCUAAGAAAAUUGUUCUUUUCCCUUUCAAAAUUGCUCAUUCCCUUGAUACAACGGAAGUUAACUCACGUUCAACAUUUUUCAGCGGUAGUUAACUCACAUUGACAUUUUUUAGAUCAGUUCAAUCGCAUUUUAAGUUGGGUCAACCAUUCUUAAAAGUGUCAGCGUGAGUUAGCUACUGCUGAAAAAUGUCGUGAGUUAACUUCCGUGGUCGCAAAAUUUAGUGACGGAAUUAGAGAGGGAUUUCACGUUUUCCCUCACUAAAUUUUCCUCAUUAUUUUUUGAUUUUUUAGUAGUGCAUGUACAAGGUGUACCAGGAAAGAACCAGAGUCACAGACAUAUGUACAAAGAAAAAUAGUAAAACCGAAACAAGGUACACAGAGAAAGAAACAUUAACCGAUGCCCAACAUAGUGAACGGACUAAGCCACCAAGCAAUUAUUUAUUUCAAUCAAAAAUAAUUAUACAUACUAUAAAAUAAAAAUACAAAAAAUAAAUAUCAAUUUAUGAAAAGAUGAAUGUACAAUAAAAUUCAUGUCUCUUUUUGUUAAUAUGUUUUAUUUUCUAAAAGUAACAAAUUUUAAUUACAGUACAUAUUCCUUCCUUAAAAAAAAGUACAUAUAUAAUCGAUACAUUUUUAACUUUCUUACCAAAAAAAUGCUUAGUUUAUUUUUGUAUAAUAUAAUUUUUAUGGCAUUAUUUCUUACAUUUUUUUCUUGAAAAAGGACACAUCCGCUUUGUUAGACCUCGUUUUAAUGUUCGGUUUAGACUUACAUUGUGUUGGGUCGGCUAUACUAAAACUACAGGAUUUUGUCAAGCUAGUUCUAUAUGUUUUCAAUGUUAUAAAAUAAUCCUAAUGUUAUUUAUAACAAAUCUUAAACCAUAUGUUAAUAAAGUCUGCGGUUUGUGAUAUCUACUUAUCGUUUUAGCAAGGAUAAACUAUCUUUCAAAUGAGUGACUUCAUAAGUUUACCAUAAGAUUAUGUUAUCAACUCUCCCAAUACUAAUACCAGUAUGUUAUUUGUGUUUUCAUUUUUAGGAAAUAUUUGUAUAUUACUUGUUAUUAACUAAAGAGCAUUGCUAUUUAUCUAAAGAGUUUUCAUCAAGAAUUUAUCAAGAAAAUGCCACACAACCAAUUAAAUUUGUUAUUUGACGAAAGUCAAAGGAAAUAAUGAUGUGUAAUUAAGGAAAAGUGUUAACAAAUACAUUGUCUUGAAAUUUUUUUGAUAAAUUUUGUCACUCUAUCUAUCAUUUCCUUUAAUUAAAUUAAAUACAAUACAUGCGUUACAUUAUUUACUAAUUGUUAUUAAACUCAUCAUAAAUUGUAUAGAAAAGGUUUAUAAAUUUUACCAAAUGACAAAUUAUUUAAGAGAACCCGAAUUUGAUUCAUCACAAAUACCAACAAAUGAAUAGGAGGGUUAAAAAAAAAAAAACUCAUCACAAAUACCAACGGAUCAACCUAACUAUCAUUUAUUUUUUUAGAUAACAAAAACCUAACCAUUAGUACCAUUUUACAAUUUCGAUGAUCAUUUUACAAAAACCUAAUCAUCACAAAUACCAAGAGGUGGAUCAACCUAACUAUCAUUUGUUUUUUUAGAUAACAAAAACCUAACCAUUAGUACCAUUUUACAAUUUCCGUGAUCAUUUUACAAAAACCUAAUCAUCACAAAUACCAACAGGUGGAUCAACCUAACUAUCAUUUGUUUUUUUAGAUAACAAAAACCUAACCAUUAGUACCAUUUUACAAUUUCCGUGAUCAUUUUACAAAAACCUAAUCAUCACAAAUACCAACAGGUGGAUCAACCUAACUAUCAUUUGUUUUUUUAGAUAACAAAAACCUAACCAUUAGUACCAUUUUACAAUUGCCGUGAUCAUUUUAUGAUGUAUUAUGGGGGAGUUGAGAUCCUCUCCAUUUAAGCCCUCUCAAUUUUUUCUAUUUAAAAAGAUAGAGACAUAGAGAAAUUGAAAAGAUUCUCACUCACUAUAGGGAGCUAAACUCAUUAGGUUCAACAAUUUUAAAGAUAAAAUUAAACAUUUACACUUUUUAAAACAAUAAACUAUUUCAAACUAAUUAAUUUUCAAAGAAAAAAUAUUACCUCAUUGAGCAAGGUGUUUAGAGAUUUGUUAUCUUCAACAGGGGUCUCCUCUGUUGCACCAACCUUAACCUCCUCAGUUAUAGGUACAGGCGCCGGCUCAGGCACAGACACUGGUUCAGGUCCUUCAUUAGUCUUGGGGUUGCUGCCACAGUUUCCCAUGUUGAAUAUGGAUUAAUAUUGAAAAAAAAUUAAGAAGUUAAAGAAAUAAGAACCGUCCUUCCUCUAAGUUAACAAAGAGAAAGAACGAAAAAUAAAAAGGCAAAGAAAGAAGGC
RNAcentral lists this long non-coding RNA (3361 nucleotides) under Medicago truncatula (barrel medic). RNAcentral's name for it is "lncRNA gene25364". Lineage: Eukaryota; Viridiplantae; Streptophyta; Magnoliopsida; Fabales; Fabaceae. The record is from RNAcentral.